This 615-nucleotide ribosomal RNA is filed under the name uncultured bacterium. RNAcentral's name for it is "bacterial SSU rRNA". It matches the Rfam family "Bacterial small subunit ribosomal RNA", at positions 338 to 956 of the family's 1533-position model. The record is from RNAcentral.
CCUACGGGAGGCAGCAGUAAGGAAUAUUGGUCAAUGGAGGCAACUCUGAACCAGCCAUGCCGCGUGCAGGAUGACGGCCCUAUGGGUUGUAAACUGCUUUUAUACAAGAGAAAACCCUGGUACGUGUACCAGGUUGAUAGUAUUGUAAGAAUAAGCAUCGGCUAACUUCGUGCCAGCAGCCGCGGUAAGACGAAGGAUGCAAGCGUUAUCCGGAUUCAUUGGGUUUAAAGGGUGCGUAGGCGGACUGAUAAGUCAGUGGUGAAAUCUCUUUGCUUAACAAAGAAACUGCCAUUGAUACUGUCGGUCUAGAGUAUAGAUGACGUUGGCGGAAUAUGACAUGUAGUGGUGAAAUACUUAGAUAUGUCAUAGAACACCGAUUGCGAAGGCAGCUAACGAAACUAUAACUGACGCUGAGGCACGAAAGUGCGGGGAUCAAACAGGAUUAGAUACCCUGGUAGUCCGCACCGUAAACGAUGAUUACUCGUUGUUGGCGAUAUGACGGUCAGCGACCAAGCGAAAGCGAUAAGUAAUCCACCUGGGGAGUACGCCGGCAACGGUGAAACUCAAAGGAAUUGACGGNGNGAGACGNGCGAGGACGACGACGAGGGGAGGAGG